GAUGAAGAACGUAGCGAAAUGCGAUAAGUAGUGUGAAUUGCAGAAUUCCGUGAAUCAUCGAAUCUUUGAACGCACAUUGCGCCUUCUGGUAUUCCGGAAGGCAUGCCUGUUCGAGAGUCAUUAACAACCGUUUCGAUCCCUUUCUUUCAGAAAUUACAAAGAGGAAAAGGGUUUGGUUAUGGUGGAGGAGGGAAAGGGAGCGUUCAGCCUGUAAAAAAAGAGGCUGUGUUCCGCCUCCCCCCCAAAAUUGUACAGGCGGUCGUGUGCGCCCACGCAUCGAGGUGUUGUAAAAGCUGCCACGGCACUUUUCACCUGUGCAGUGCGAGAUUGGCCAGCCGGUUUAAAAACCCCUCCAAACAAUCAAAGGUUGACCUCGGAUCAGGUAGGGAUACCCGCUGAACUUAAGCAUAUCAAUAAGCGGAGGA
Molecule: unclassified non-coding RNA, 425 nt
Filed under: soil metagenome
Description: partial contains 5.8S ribosomal RNA, internal transcribed spacer 2, and large subunit ribosomal RNA
Rfam family: 5.8S ribosomal RNA (bases 1-120)
Source: RNAcentral